Molecule: ribosomal RNA, 253 nt
Filed under: uncultured bacterium
Lineage: Bacteria
Description: partial 16S ribosomal RNA
Rfam family: Bacterial small subunit ribosomal RNA
Source: RNAcentral
UACGUAGGCGGCAAGCGUUGCCCGGAAUUACUGGGUGUAAAGGGCGUGUAGGCGGGACUGCAAGUCAGAUGUGAAAUUCCCAGGCUCUACCUGGGGGCUGCAUCUGAAACUGUGGUUCUUGAGUGCUGGAGAGGAAAGCGGAAUUCCUAGUGUAGCGGUGAAAUGCGUAGAUAUUAGGAGGGACACCAGUGGCGAAGGCGGCUUUCUGGACAGUAAGUGACGCUGAGGCGCGAAAUCGUGGGGAGCAAACAGG